GUUCUUGCGGGCAAUGCUCUCGGGGUGAGCGUAGAUGCAGGUCUGUCCAGUGGAGAAGUCACAGAAGGCCUUGAUGGCAUCCAUGGUGCAGCCCUGGUUGGGGUCGAUCCAGUAGAAGCCUGCACAGAGAAACCAAAGGUGCGGGCUGGGUUCUUCUUGGAGCCCUCGGGAGAGAGCAGGCUAUCGAUCUGGGUGUUCAGGGACUUCAGGGUGGCAUCCACCUCGUAGUCCUUGGCCCUGAGGGCGGCCUGGUCAGCAGCGUACUCGUCAAAGCCACCAGAGACGUCAUAAGAGCCACCAGCGGGACCAGGGGGUCCAGGCAGACCGGGAGAUCCGGGAGGACCCUGCAAUCAGACAACACCAUGACCUUAGUGGAACAAGUUCCCUAUGCUUUACGCUUCACGUUAUAUCUGACUGAAAUGUGUAUGAGCCUAAGGAUCUUUCAUUGGGGGAUUCCCCAUCUGCUAAACAGAUAUGUUUUAUAGUCAAAUAUUAUAUUUGAACUUACAGCAGGUCCAAGAUGUCCUUGGGGACCACGGUGACCGACGGGUCCAACAGGGCCGUGGGCUCCAGCUCUUCCAUCCUUGCCAGAAGGUCCAGCAGGACCAGCGGGGCCCUAAAAAGCAACACCACAGAGGGUUUGACAGGUUGUUGACAAUCUUAUGGACCAGCACUGUAGUUCAGUUUUUUUUUAUUGAAAAAGAAUAUUCUGGAAUCUGGGCUACUUACUCUGGGACCAGAAUGUCCAGUGGCACCAGCGGGACCAGAGUCACCAGGAGGACCCUAGCAAGAAGACAUAACACAAUGUUUUGAUAGCGUAUAAUAACAAGGCAUAUGGGUGAAAUGACUGUAUUACAUAAUAAAAUGACACAAACGUCUGAGAGUUGGAUAUAAAGAUGGAGGAGCAGUGUUAGUCGCUAACAAGACAAGUAGCUUGGCUCUACGCCUACACUAUCCUACACAAAAAUGAAAAGUGCAUCAUGGGGUCUGAUUCUAAUUAUGGUACACUACACUUCCAUAAACAGAUAAAGUCUUCCAGAAGUUGUAGAUGGAGCCUUGAUUUUCACUCACAUUGGGUCCAGGCAUUCCCUGGAGACCAGGGUGUCCACGCAGUCCCUUCAUGCCUCUGUCUCCCUUGUCUCCAGCACCUCCCUUCUCACCACGAGCUCCAGCAGGGCCCUAGAACAGCGAGAGAGAGAGAGAGAGAUAAUGAGGAGAGAUUAAUUCAGAGAUUCAAGAUUCAUUUAUUGUUACAUCUCAUUAUAUUUGUACAAAGAGAAUAAAAUUCUUAAAAUUCA
Molecule: long non-coding RNA, 1298 nt
Organism: Alosa sapidissima (American shad)
Lineage: Eukaryota; Metazoa; Chordata; Actinopteri; Clupeiformes; Clupeidae
Exons: 2
Source: RefSeq, a predicted model, not a curated record